CAAAGGCUUGGUCCUGACUUUACUAUCAACUCUAGCUAAAUUUACACAUGCAAGUAUCCGCACCCCUGUGAGAAUGCCCUAACAGUUCCCCGCCCGGGAACAAGGAGCUGGUAUCAGGCACAUCCAUCCAUAGCCCACGACACCUUGCUUAGCCACACCCUCAAGGGAAUUCAGCAGUGAUAAACAUUAAGCCAUAAGUGAAAACUUGACUUAGUUAGAGCUAAGAGGGCCGGUAAAACUCGUGCCAGCCACCGCGGUUAUACGAGAGGCUCAAGUUGAUAGACUUCGGCGUAAAGCGUGGUUAAGAAAAUUUCAAACUAAAGCCGAAUGCCCUCAGAGCUGUUAUACGCUCACGACGGCUAGAAGCCCAAUUACGAAAGUAGCUUUACACAACCUGAACCCACGAAAGCUAUGGCACAAACUGGGAUUAGAUACCCCACUAUGCAUAGCCCUAAACAUAAAUAGUACAAUACACCCACUAUUCGCCCGGGGACUACGAGCAUCAGCUUAAAACCCAAAGGACUUGGCGGUGCUUUAGAUCCACCUAGAGGAGCCUGUUCUAGAACCGAUAACCCCCGUUCAACCUCACCCUUCCUUGCUCUUUUCCGCCUAUAUACCGCCGUCGCCAGCUUACCCUAUGAAGGACUUACAGUAAGCAAAAUUGGCACAGCCCAGAACGUCAGGUCGACGUGUAGCGUAUGGAGGGGGAAGAAAUGGGCUACAUUCCCUAACACAGUGAACACGAAAGGCGCACUGAAACGUGCACCAUGAAGGAGGAUUUAGCAGUAAGCAGGAAGUAGAGUGUCCCGCUGAAACCGGCCCUGAAGCGCGCACACACCGCCCGUCAUUCUCCCCGAGCUUAUAUACUCACUUAACUAAAACCCUAAAAUUGCUAAGGGGAGGCAAGUCGUAACAUGGUAAGUGUACCGGAAGGUGCACUUGGAACAAAU
This 950-nucleotide non-coding RNA is filed under the name Scortum barcoo (barcoo grunter). RNAcentral's name for it is "12S ribosomal RNA". It matches the Rfam family "Bacterial small subunit ribosomal RNA". Lineage: Eukaryota; Metazoa; Chordata; Actinopteri; Centrarchiformes; Terapontidae. The record is from RNAcentral.